CACUGCUCCACUCCAAGUCCAGCAAUGAGUACGGUAGUACAGACUUGGCCCAUAGAGGGUGAAAGGCCCGUGGGGGUGGAGAUUCAGGCAGGUUAGUGUCUCUCUGGAUAGACCUUGGAGUCGGGUUGUUUGUGAAUGCAGCCCAAAGCGGGUGGUAAACUCCAUCCAAGGCUAAAUACUAGCACGAGUCCGAUAGCGAACAAGUACCGUGAGGGAAAGUUGAAAAGUACUUUGAAGAGAGAGUAAACAGUGCGUGAAACCGCUCAGAGGUAAACGGGUGGAGUUGAACUGCAAGCCUUGAGAAUUCAGCUGGUGAGUGUGGUUUGAGCUUGGUCAAAUUGGUUGUACUCUGGGGUCUGCGUAGUAGCAGGUCUCUGCCUUCGGGUGGGGAUGUACGAAUCGCUUAUCAAGCGUUGUGCGCCUUAGUUGUAUUCAGGCCUGCUUGCCAGUGCACUUUCUCUUGGUGUUCACCACGACCGGCACUGCUGUCUGACUGUUGUGGUUAAACCGGUCUUGCAUUGUCCUUGUGGCUUUGUUUGGUCGGGACGGCAGGUAGCUCGUUGGCUAGUCUGGGGUAACCUGGGCAAUUGGUCUUCGGGUGUAAUCAGCUGACCAUGAUGGUUCUGUGCAGUGUGUCGGAGACGGCGGCUUGUUGUGUGAGCGCGCGUGCCUUGUCUUCUGACUUGUUUGGGUUUGAUUGCUAUGUUGCUUGUUCUGCAGGCCUAGUGAUAUCCUGAGCAUGUUUGGUUGGCGGUGGCGUGUGUGACACUAAUACAGGGCCAAUAGUCUGUGGUGUAGUGGUAGACUAUCCACCCGACCCGUCUUGAAACACGGACCAAGGAGAGUAACAUGUAUGCGAGUCAUUGGGCGUAACGAAACCCACAGGCGCAGUGAAAGUGAAGGUCUGGCUAGUCCGGACUGAGGUGAGAUCCUGUCGUGUCUCACGCAAGGUACUUCCAAGCAUUGAACGGCAGGCGCAUCACCGGCCCGUCCCAUGGCUUAGUCGCAAAUCUUGUAUUG
RNAcentral lists this ribosomal RNA (1020 nucleotides) under Lepidapedon guevarai. RNAcentral's name for it is "partial 28S ribosomal RNA". It matches the Rfam family "Eukaryotic large subunit ribosomal RNA", at positions 162 to 791 of the family's 3401-position model. Lineage: Eukaryota; Metazoa; Platyhelminthes; Trematoda; Plagiorchiida; Lepocreadiidae. The record is from RNAcentral.